RNAcentral lists this ribosomal RNA (465 nucleotides) under uncultured bacterium. RNAcentral describes it as "partial 16S ribosomal RNA". It matches the Rfam family "Bacterial small subunit ribosomal RNA", at positions 28 to 507 of the family's 1533-position model. The record is from RNAcentral.
GACGAACGCUGGCGGCGUGCUUAACACAUGCAAGUCGAACGGAAAGGCCCUGCUUGCAGGGUACUCGAGUGGCGAACGGGUGAGUAACACGUGGGUGAUCUGCCCUGCACUUCGGGAUAAGCCUGGGAAACUGGGUCUAAUACCGGAUAGGAGCCAUUUUUAGUGUGAUGGUUGGAAAGUUUUUUCGGUGUAGGAUGAGCUCGCGGCCUAUCAGCUUGUUGGUGGGGUAAUGGCCUACCAAGGCGGCGACGGGUAGCCGGCCUGAGAGGUUGGACGGCCACAUUGGGACUGAGAUACGGCCCAGACUCCUACGGGAGGCAGCAGUGGGGAAUAUUGCACAAUGGGCGCAAGCCUGAUGCAGCGACGCCGCGUGGGGGAUGACGGCCUUCGGGUUGUAAACUCCUUUCGCUAGGGACGAAGCUUUUUGUGACGGUACCUAGAUAAGAAGCACCGGCUAACUACGUG